This is a long non-coding RNA of Zingiber officinale, 378 nucleotides long. RefSeq lists it as uncharacterized. The transcript has 3 exons. The record is from RefSeq and is a predicted model, not a curated record. NCBI's taxonomy places the organism in Eukaryota, Viridiplantae, Streptophyta, Magnoliopsida, Zingiberales, Zingiberaceae.
AGGAUUUCUGGAGAGAAGGCUGGGAUCCUAGUUCUCAGAAGCUUGGUCACUUUGUCUUCCAAAAUGGGAUAUUGUAUCCAUUAGUCCUUUAGUUAAAACCCUCAUGCCGAUUCCAUAUUCUGUUUUGUAAGCAUUUUACUUGUUUUUUAGUGGCGAGGAACGAUGCGUUGCUUGAGUUUUUGGAUAGUUAUCUGCAAUUUCAGAAUAGAUGGUAUGAUUUUCCACAUCGAGGGGCAAGGGGAGUUGUUGUAGGGGUCAUCAUCGGAGAGCUUGAGCUAUGUCGGCGAGUUUUUUCUCUAUAGAAUGUCUUCCAACAAGGAUCCUGGGGCCCACCCAAAUGAUUGUCUCAGCAUGAAAGAGCACACAGCUCUCUUGCAG